RNAcentral lists this long non-coding RNA (717 nucleotides) under Sorghum bicolor (sorghum). RNAcentral's name for it is "long non-coding RNA (SBIC_LNC012041)". The record is from RNAcentral. Lineage: Eukaryota; Viridiplantae; Streptophyta; Magnoliopsida; Poales; Poaceae.
GUAUUUUGUGCUCAUGAAACAUAGAGAAAUAAUAUUUUUCAUUUGAAUAAAAUUUAUCAUAGGAUUUAGCAACUUGUUUGUGCAUUCAUUUUGGAGCAUUUGUUUUCAUUGUAAUGUGUGACAUUGAGCGAAGUUCAAAAUGGUUUCAAACUGAUUUGAAAAUGGUUUGGAAAUAAAAGAAAAAAACAAACAAAAGAAAAAGGAAAAACUUCCCCCUCUACUUUGUGGGCCGAAGGCUAGUCCCCCUCCUCUCUCUAUUUGGCCUGAAGACCCCCAAACCCUCCCCUCUCUCUCUCGGGCCGCAAGCAGGCCGGCCCAAGCUGCGAAUCCUUUUCUCAGCAGCGGCCCAAGCACCCGCAGCAGCCCACGAGCGCUCCUCUCCCUUCCCCUCUCCUUUCAUUCUCCGACGCGUGGACCCCACACCCAGAGUCGCUGAUGCCUCGGGCCCGCUCGUUAGUCGCCCUUCUCUUCUUCAACCCUGAGUCGGGUGCGGUCUGGACUGUUUCCUGGCCGAUCCACCGAAUCCGCCCUGCAACCUUCUCACGAUUCGGCUUGUCCCCCAUGCCUAUGUUCCUAUAAAGCUUCAAUCGCCUUUCCCCGAUGUCUUUUUCCCAUCCCCGGGGCAUCGGUUUGCCCUAGCCCAGCUUGCAAGCGCCGCCGCCACUCCAUAGAUUGACGCCGAACACGGAUCAACGCUUCCUCCACAAUUGUGCCCCC